AGUGAACGCUGGCGGUAGGCCUAACACAUGCAAGUCGAACGGCAGCACAGUAAGAGCUUGCUCUUACGUGUGGCGAGUGGCGGACGGGUGAGGAAUACAUCGGAAUCUACUUUUUCGUGGGGGAUAACGUAGGGAAACUUACGCUAAUACCGCAUACGACCUACGUGUGAAAGCAGGGGAUCUUCUGACCUUGCGCGAUGGUAUGAGCCGAUGUCGGAUUAGCUCGUUGGCGGGGCAAAGGCCCACCCAGGCGACGAUCCGUAGCUGGUCUGAGAGGAGAAUCAGCGAAACUGGUACUGGAACACGGUCAAGAAUCCUACGGGAGGCACAAGUGGGAAAUAUUGGCCGAUGGGAGCAAGGCUGAUUCAGGCAUAACGCGUGAGUGAAGAAGGCCUUCGGGUUGUAAAGAUGUUUUGGUGCGAAGGAAAAGAAGAAGGUUAAUACCCCGCUGUUAAGACGGUAACCAAAGAAAGAGCCCCGGCUAACUUCGUG
Molecule: ribosomal RNA, 492 nt
Filed under: uncultured bacterium
Lineage: Bacteria
Description: partial 16S ribosomal RNA
Rfam family: Bacterial small subunit ribosomal RNA
Source: RNAcentral